UACGGAGGGUGCGAGCGUUGUUCGGAUUUAUUGGGCGUAAAGGGCGCGUAGGCGGCGCGGUAAGUCGGGUGUGAAAUCUCGGAGCUUAACUCCGAAACUGCAUUCGAUACUGCCGUGCUUGAGGACUGGAGAGGAUACUGGAAUUUACGGUGUAGCGGUGAAAUGCGUAGAUAUCGUAAGGAAGACCAGUGGCGAAGGCGGGUCUCUGGACAGUUCCUGACGCUGAGGCACGAAGGCCAGGGGAGCAAACGGG
RNAcentral lists this ribosomal RNA (253 nucleotides) under uncultured bacterium. RNAcentral's name for it is "partial 16S ribosomal RNA". It matches the Rfam family "Bacterial small subunit ribosomal RNA", at positions 524 to 776 of the family's 1533-position model. The record is from RNAcentral.